RNAcentral lists this ribosomal RNA (409 nucleotides) under uncultured bacterium. RNAcentral's name for it is "bacterial SSU rRNA". It matches the Rfam family "Bacterial small subunit ribosomal RNA", at positions 187 to 577 of the family's 1533-position model. The record is from RNAcentral.
GGGGCACGGGGGGAGGAAAGCAGGGGAUCGCAAGACCUCGCGCUAAUGGAUGAGCCAAAGUCGGAUUAGCUAGUUGGUGGGGUAAUGGCCUACCAAGGCGACAAUCCGUAGCUGGUCUGAGAGGACGACCAGCCACACCGGAACUGAGACACGGUCCGGACUCCUACGGGAGGCAGCAGUGGGGAAUAUUGGACAAUGGGGGAAACCCUGAUCCAGCGACGCCGCGUGUGUGAAGAAGGCCUGCGGGUUGUAAAGCACUUUUAGUGGGGACAAAAAGCCAUUGACGAAUACUUGAUGGUCUUGAUUUAACCCAAAGAAAAAGCACCGGCUAACUCUGUGCCAGCAGCCGCGGUAAUACAGAGGGUGCGAGCGUUAAUCGGAAUUACUGGGCGUAAAGCGCGCGUAGACG